RNAcentral lists this long non-coding RNA (769 nucleotides) under Salmo salar (Atlantic salmon). RNAcentral's name for it is "lncRNA (ENSSSAG00000086809.1)". Lineage: Eukaryota; Metazoa; Chordata; Actinopteri; Salmoniformes; Salmonidae. The record is from RNAcentral.
CGCAUAAAUCUGAGAAACGUGAGUUUUGUCUUCAUUGUUUAUCUAGACAUAGGAUAGGUUGUGUGAAAAUAUUACUGAUGUUUAACGUUAAAAAUGGACCAAAAGAUUAAUGCUAAACAACAUUUGACAUGUUUGAACGAACAUAAAUAGAUUAUUUACUAGGUUUUUUAGCUUUUCGGCGUGAUUUUACAGUCCCCCCACCACGUUUUGUGGGAGCAUAAAGAACGCUAAGUACUUGGUGUUAUUUGGACAUAAAUUAUGAACUUUGUCAAAAGAAACCACAUUUGUUCCGGACCUGGGAUGCCUUCCGGACCUGGGAUGCCUGCCUUCUGAUGGAGAUAAUCAAAGCUCAGAUGGGUGGAACUGUUGAGUCAGGUCAUGCCACUCAGAUGUCAGAUGAGGAAGCAGGGGUACUGAAAAUAUAUGUCACAGCUGGCCUGGUGUUCUACCUUCCCAAGGACUCCAAUGUCACCCAGCUCUUCUGCACUCUCUCAGUAGAAGCUCACAUCCAAAUCAAGACUGGCUGGUAUGGGGCAGCAAGGGGAAACACGGAGCCGAACUGAUGUCGCUCACAUUUCAUUGAAAUUACCUUGAGUGUCUCACGCUUUGCAAAAGUUACAUGUCUAGUGUAGCAGGCCAGUGAUUAGCACUCAUUUAUGAUUUAGCUGAUAGAUGAUUUUUUUCGGAAGGUUUUACUUGCACUGACUGUGGGAUAUGUGGUUGUCUUAACUAUCUUAUUUGAAUGCCCUGACUAUAAGUUGCUCUGGAU